RNAcentral lists this non-coding RNA (23 nucleotides) under Mus musculus (house mouse). The record is from RNAcentral. Lineage: Eukaryota; Metazoa; Chordata; Mammalia; Rodentia; Muridae.
CCGUCCUGAGGUUGUUGAGCUGU